UACGUAGGGUGCGAGCGUUAAUCGGAAUUACUGGGCGUAAAGGGUGCGCAGGCGGUCUUGUAAGUCAGAUGUGAAAUCCCCGGGCUUAACCUGGGAACUGCGUUUGAAACUACAAGACUAGAGUGUAGCAGAGGGGGGUGGAAUUCCACGUGUAGCAGUGAAAUGCGUAGAGAUGUGGAAGAACACCGAUGGCGAAGGCAGCCCCCUGGGUUAACACUGACGCUCAGGCACGAAAGCGUGGGGAGCAAACAGGAUUAGAUACCCUGGUAGUCCACGCCCUAAACGAUGUCAACUAGUUGUCGGGUCUUUAUAGAUUUGGUAACGCAGCUAACGCGUGAAGUUGACCGCCUGGGG
RNAcentral lists this ribosomal RNA (354 nucleotides) under uncultured beta proteobacterium. RNAcentral describes it as "bacterial SSU rRNA". It matches the Rfam family "Bacterial small subunit ribosomal RNA", at positions 524 to 878 of the family's 1533-position model. Lineage: Bacteria; Pseudomonadati; Pseudomonadota; Betaproteobacteria. The record is from RNAcentral.